AGUUCAGACCUCGGCUGACAAUACUGUGUCAUCCUCCUCGGGGCUGGCCCAGCCGAAAAGAGCUGCCAUGGCUUCAACAUGAACUGAGAGGCUCCAAAACAACAUGCUUCUGGUUCCACUCCAGUAAUCCGAUGGCUGCCGUGGGGGAACUGCCGGAGCACGGGCAUGGGAGCUGAAUCUAUUGGCCCUCGGAGUUGGUAAGAUUCUGGCCAUCUUCUAGGAAAGCUACAACAAUAAUUGAGCCUGCUUGCUGGAGGGAGGACUGCUUGCACGCCUUGUUGCUGCAAAUCCACUGGAGGUGCAGCAGUAGAGCCCGCAGCUAAAGAUUGCCUCUUUGAUUUCCGAAAUGCAAGGGAUGUCGGUUGCUUGGGUCUGUGGAGGAUAUUCAAGGCAUUGGGGAGCCAGUCACUGCAGGCCCGUUCAAUUCUAAUUUGAUGGUAAUAGAGUGCAUUGGGUACACUCCACUAAACUUCUGGUCAUGGUCGAAGUGGAUAGUUACUAAUGGGUUCGAUGAUCAUACUGACGCCGCCAUCACUAUUAAGGAUGUGAAGUUCUUUCUAAAGGAGCUGAAAACGAAAUGACACUGAUAUCAAUAUGUAGGCCCACCGAGCGGAGGCAUUUCGUCAUAAAUUUGUGACUAAAAUCAUUACUCUUGUUAAGAGUUCGAUGUGUUGAAUAUCAACUGUUCUUCUCCUUUUGCAUGCCAUGUAUAUUAAACUAAAUACAAGAGUUGCAUGGCCAUGCAUGAGUUCAAUGCAUUGCUACAUGUAAUCGGAUAUCUAGCGCAGGUUGCCACAAUUUUGGAAGAAUAGCUUCGCAAAUCUCGGCCAGAAUCGGAAGAGGCAGCAACGCUCUGGCAUCAGGUUGGGUCAAGGUUCCCUCUGGAUAUGCUUAGUAACGGGUCAUGAUCCGGACGGACGCUCCUGCUCUUCGCGGUCAAUUUUCUAUAGAAAUUGUUCAUGUUGCAACAUCCUUUUCUAUCAAGAUUCAACUGCUCUCUGGCUAGAUUCGUGUGGGCCUGUCUCAGAGAGGUGUUUGGAGACGAUAUGCCCAGUUUUUGGGAAGAGCUGCUUUGGGGGCAAGCUCACGGGCAUGCUUAAAACUAACUUGAGGCUGUGCCUCUUCCUUUUUGCAGGGAUUGCUUGGUCAAUCUUGAGAACAUGAAAUAAGAUGUCAAUUGAAAGACAUUCUCUGAAAACCCUAUUGAUGUCAUAUAGUCUGGUGUAUCUUUUGUGCAGAAAUGGUGGACAUCCUUUUCUAUAAACAUAAGCAGCCCUUUUGGCCUUCAGCG
Molecule: long non-coding RNA, 1291 nt
Organism: Panicum virgatum (switchgrass)
Lineage: Eukaryota; Viridiplantae; Streptophyta; Magnoliopsida; Poales; Poaceae
Exons: 5
Source: RefSeq, a predicted model, not a curated record